UCUGUCGUGGUGCAGUGGUAGCCCGCCAGACCUCUCAUGAUGUGUACACUCUUCCUGGCGUGCAGGCGACCGUGGGUUGGCCGCCACCGUCCGGGUCUGGUAAACCGCUGAGAAGGACUGGAGACCCGAGUUCGAUUCUCGGCGACGGAA
This is a non-coding RNA of Phyllosticta citrichinensis, 150 nucleotides long. Lineage: Eukaryota; Fungi; Ascomycota; Dothideomycetes; Botryosphaeriales; Phyllostictaceae. The record is from the annotation of a GenBank genome assembly.